GCCUGGGUGGCUCAGUCGGUUGAGCAUCUGACUUUGGCUCAGGUCAUUAUCUUGCUCGGUCUGUGGGUUUGAGCCCCAGGUU
This 82-nucleotide transfer RNA is filed under the name Felis catus (domestic cat). It matches the Rfam family "tRNA". From Rfam's summary of the family: Transfer RNA (tRNA) molecules are approximately 80 nucleotides in length. Their secondary structure includes four short double-helical elements and three loops (D, anti-codon, and T loops). Lineage: Eukaryota; Metazoa; Chordata; Mammalia; Carnivora; Felidae. The record is from Rfam by way of RNAcentral.